RNAcentral lists this ribosomal RNA (416 nucleotides) under uncultured bacterium. RNAcentral describes it as "bacterial SSU rRNA". It matches the Rfam family "Bacterial small subunit ribosomal RNA", at positions 359 to 775 of the family's 1533-position model. The record is from RNAcentral.
GAAUAUUGCGCAAUGGCCGCAAGGCUGACGCAGCGACGCCGCGUGCGGGAGGACGCCCUUCGGGGUGUAAACCGCUGUUGCCCGGGACGAACCCCUGGUUUCGACCAGGCUGACGGUACCGGGUGAGGAAGCACCGGCUAACUCCGUGCCAGCAGCCGCGGUAAUACGGAGGGUGCGAGCGUUGUCCGGAAUCACUGGGCGUAAAGGGCGCGUAGGCGGUGGCCGAAGCGUGCGGUGAAAGUCCGGGGCUCAACUCCGGAUCGGCCGUGCGAACUGGGUCACUCGAGCACUGUAGAGGCAGGUGGAAUUCCGGGUGUAGCGGUGGAAUGCGUAGAGAUCCGGAAGAACACCGGUGGCGAAGGCGGCCUGCUGGGCAGUAGCUGACGCUGAUGCGCGACAGCGUGGGGAGCAAACAG